Molecule: unclassified non-coding RNA, 409 nt
Filed under: Hevea brasiliensis (rubber tree)
Lineage: Eukaryota; Viridiplantae; Streptophyta; Magnoliopsida; Malpighiales; Euphorbiaceae
Source: RNAcentral
AUGGUUGUGUCUUGGAUCUUAAAUUCCAUAUCAAAAGACCUCUUGAGGCAUUUUUAUGUACUACUUGUGCCCGAGAUGAUCUUUGGGAAGAGUUAGAACAGCAUUUUGGUGAAAGCAAUGGGCCUCUAUUAUAUCAGAUUAAAAGAGAUAUAUCUGAAUUCAGCCCAGGCAAUUUUUCUGUGACAGUUUAUUUCACUAAAUUGAAGAAGUUAUGCAAUGAGCGGUCUUGUUUACAUCAGUAUCCAGUUUGCAAUUGUGGAGCAGCUAAGACUAUAGCUAACAUUGAGAAUGAAGAUAAACUUCUUCAGUUUCUAAUGGGAUUUUAAUGAAAAUCACAAUCAAGUGAAAAAUGAGAUUUUGUUGAUGUAUCCCUUUCCCUGUGUAUGACAGGAAACAUAUACAAGAGAAU